AUGACGUACAAGUCCCUCAUCGGUCCCUUAUCGGUAGGGCUUCACACGUCAUACAAUGGCGGUACAGAGGGUUGCCAAGCCGCGAGGUGGAGCCAAUCCCAGAAAGCCGAUCGUAGUCCGGAUUGUUCUCUGCAACUCGAGAGCAUGAAGUCGGAAUCGCUAGUAAUCGCGGAUCAGCAUGUCGCGGUGAAUACGUUCCCGGGUCUU
This 207-nucleotide ribosomal RNA is filed under the name uncultured Thiobacillus sp. RNAcentral's name for it is "partial 16S ribosomal RNA". It matches the Rfam family "Bacterial small subunit ribosomal RNA", at positions 1179 to 1382 of the family's 1533-position model. The record is from RNAcentral. Lineage: Bacteria; Pseudomonadati; Pseudomonadota; Betaproteobacteria; Nitrosomonadales; Thiobacillaceae.